ACAUAAUAUAAUUGUAAGUUGCUCUGGGUAAGAGUGUCUGCUAAAUGACUCAAA
Molecule: non-coding RNA, 54 nt
Organism: Salmo salar (Atlantic salmon)
Lineage: Eukaryota; Metazoa; Chordata; Actinopteri; Salmoniformes; Salmonidae
Source: Rfam